GGAGAGUUGCCGGAGCGGUUGAACGGGGCGGUCUCGAAAACCGUUGAAGAUGGUGACAUCUUCCCAGGGUUCAAAUCCCUGACUCUCCGCCA
Molecule: transfer RNA, 92 nt
Filed under: Candidatus Cloacimonadota bacterium
Lineage: Bacteria; Pseudomonadati; Candidatus Cloacimonadota
Description: tRNA-Ser
Rfam family: tRNA
About the family: Transfer RNA (tRNA) molecules are approximately 80 nucleotides in length. Their secondary structure includes four short double-helical elements and three loops (D, anti-codon, and T loops).
Source: RNAcentral